CCAAAUUCUCCAUUUUGGUACACGCCAAAGCAUUCCAUUUCGGCGGAUUGAAAGAGCCAUCAAUCACUAUGAUCUCUUUCUUAGAAAAGAAAUUGCGUAAAUUCUUUCUUUUUUUCUCCCAUGCUUUCCGUUGGUCAUCAACCAACUAAAGUGCUCUAUACUUCUUCACUACUCGAACAGGGAAGGUGGAAGAAAUGAAGUCUCUCAUUUUUUUGGGGGGAGCAGAGCAGUCAAAGAAUGAACCAAACCAAAUGAUUGUUCUAGAAUGGCUAUUCCUCACAAUUGCUCCUUGUGAUGCAGCGGAACCAUGGCAAUUAGGAUCUCAAGACGCAGCAACACCUAUAAUGCAAGGAAUAACAGACUUACAUCACGAUGUCUUUUUCUAUUCCUCACAAUUGCUCCUUGUGAUGCAGCGGAACCAUGGCAAUUAGGAUCUCACGACUGCAACACCUAUAAUGCAAGGAAUAACAGACUUACAUCACGCUUUCUUUUUCUUCGUUAUUCUAAUUUUUUUUUCGUAUCAUGGAUCUUGGGUCGCGCUUUAUGGCAUUUCCACUAUAAAAAAAAUCCAAUCUCGCAAAGGAUUGUUCAUGGAACUACUAUUGAGAUUCUUCGGACCAUAUUUCCUAGUAUCAUCCCUAUGUUCAUUGCUAUACCAUCAUUUGCUCUGUUAUACUCAAUGGACGAGGUAGUAGUAUAUC
RNAcentral lists this long non-coding RNA (701 nucleotides) under Nicotiana benthamiana. RNAcentral's name for it is "long non-coding RNA (NBEN_LNC010749)". The record is from RNAcentral. Lineage: Eukaryota; Viridiplantae; Streptophyta; Magnoliopsida; Solanales; Solanaceae.